GCAGCAGGCACGCAAAUUACCCACUCCCGGCACGGGGAGGUAGUGACAAAAAAUAACGAUACGGGACUCUAUUGAGGCCCCGUAAUCGGAAUGAGUACACUUUAAAUCCUUUAACAAGGAUCCAUUGGAGGGCAAGUCUGGUGCCAGCAGCCGCGGUAAUUCCAGCUCCAAUAGCGUAUAUUAAAGUUGUUGCGGUUAAAAAGCUCGUAGUUGGUUCUGCGUGCCACGCUGUCGGUUCGCCGCCUGUCGGUGUAACUGGCAUGUCGUGGCAUGUCCUGUCGGUGGUGAACGGGAUCCCUGGUUCGACGUAGGCUUAUUUAGCUGAAAUCUGUACCGUGUGUGAUCCCGUUUGCCGAUCUCUCCUACUCCGGUGCUCUUAAACGAGUGUCGAGGUAGGCCGACACGUUCACUUUGAACAAAUUAGAGUGCUUAAAGCAGGCUAAAAUAUCCGCCUGAAUAGUGGUGCAUGGAAUGAUAAAACAGGACCUCAGUUCUAUUUUGUUGGUUUUAGGAAUAUGAGGUAAUGAUCAAUGUGGACUGGCGGGGGCAUUCGUAUUGCGACGUUAGAGGUGAAAUUCUUGGAUCGUCGCAAGACGCACUAGAGCGAAAGCAUUUGCCAAGUAUGUCUUAAUUGAUCAAGAACGAAAGUUAGAGGUUCGAAGGCGAUCAGAUACCGCCCUAGUUCUAACCAUAAACGAUGCCAGCCAGCGAUCCGCCGAUGUUCCUUUAAUGACUCGGCGGGGAGCUUCUACUCGGGAAACCAAAGCUUUUGGGUUCCGGGGGAAGUAUGGUUGCAAAGCUGAAACUUAAAGGAAUUGACGGAAGGGCACCACCAGGAGUGGAGCCUGCGGCUUAAUUUGACCCAACACGGGAAACCUCACCAGGCCAGGACAUUGGAAGGAUUGACAGAUUGAUAGCUCUUUCUUGAUUCAGUG
RNAcentral lists this ribosomal RNA (935 nucleotides) under Arilus cristatus (wheel bug). RNAcentral's name for it is "SSU rRNA". It matches the Rfam family "Eukaryotic small subunit ribosomal RNA", at positions 425 to 1272 of the family's 1831-position model. Lineage: Eukaryota; Metazoa; Arthropoda; Insecta; Hemiptera; Reduviidae. The record is from RNAcentral.